This 515-nucleotide ribosomal RNA is filed under the name uncultured bacterium. RNAcentral describes it as "bacterial SSU rRNA". It matches the Rfam family "Bacterial small subunit ribosomal RNA", at positions 903 to 1397 of the family's 1533-position model. The record is from RNAcentral.
AAAGGAAUAGACGGGGGCCCGCACAAGCGGUGGAACAUGUGGUUCAAUUCGAUGCUACGCGAGGAACCUCACCAGGGCUUGACAUACAGGCAGUAGUGAACCGAAAGGGGAACGACCUGUCAAGUCAGGAUCCUGCACAGGUGCUGCAUGGCUGUCGUCAGCUCGUGUCGUGAGAUGUUGGGUUAAGUCCCGCAACGAGCGCAACCAUCAUCUUUAGUUACUACUUUUAACGCCCGUAAGGGUUUUAAAAGGCACUCUAAAGAGACUGCCCGUGAUAAACGGGAGGAAGGUGGUGAUGACGUCAAGUCCGUACGGCCUUUAUGCCCUGGGCUACACACGUGUUACAAUGCUUACUACAAACCGUUGCCAAACCGCGAGGUGGAGCUAAUCGGAAAAAAGUAAGCUCAGUUCAGAUUGGAGUCUGCAACCCGACUCCAUGAAGCCGGAAUCGCUAGUAAUGGCGUAUCAGCUACGACGCCGUGAAUACGUUCCCGGGCCUUGUACACACCGCCCGU